UACUGAGUCAUUGCCAUCUGUAG
This 23-nucleotide non-coding RNA is filed under the name Cricetulus griseus (Chinese hamster). The record is from RNAcentral. Lineage: Eukaryota; Metazoa; Chordata; Mammalia; Rodentia; Cricetidae.